GACGAACGCUGGCGGCGUGCUUAACACAUGCAAGUCGAACGGAAAGGCCCUGCUUUUGUGGGGUGCUCGAGUGGCGAACGGGUGAGUAACACGUGAGUAACCUGCCCUUGACUUUGGGAUAACUUCAGGAAACUGGGGCUAAUACCGGAUAGGAGCUCCUGCUGCAUGGUGGGGGUUGGAAAGUUUCGGCGGUUGGGGAUGGACUCGCGGCUUAUCAGCUUGUUGGUGGGGUAGUGGCUUACCAAGGCUUUGACGGGUAGCCGGCCUGAGAGGGUGACCGGCCACAUUGGGACUGAGAUACGGCCCAGACUCCUACGGGAGGCAGCAGUGGGGAAUAUUGCAGAAUGGGCGGAAGCCUGAUGCAGCAACGCCGCGUGCGGGAUGACGGCCUUCGGGUUGUAAACCGCUUUCGCCUGUGACGAAGCGUGAGUAACGGUAAUGGGUAAAGAAGCACCGGCUAACUACGUG
RNAcentral lists this ribosomal RNA (468 nucleotides) under uncultured bacterium. RNAcentral's name for it is "partial 16S ribosomal RNA". It matches the Rfam family "Bacterial small subunit ribosomal RNA", at positions 28 to 507 of the family's 1533-position model. The record is from RNAcentral.